RNAcentral lists this ribosomal RNA (549 nucleotides) under Pseudomonas plecoglossicida. RNAcentral's name for it is "bacterial SSU rRNA". It matches the Rfam family "Bacterial small subunit ribosomal RNA", at positions 190 to 721 of the family's 1533-position model. The record is from RNAcentral. Lineage: Bacteria; Pseudomonadati; Pseudomonadota; Gammaproteobacteria; Pseudomonadales; Pseudomonadaceae.
CGUCCUACGGGAGAAAGCAGGGGACCUUCGGGCCUUGCGCUAUCAGAUGAGCCUAGGUCGGAUUAGCUAGUUGGUGGGGUAAUGGCUCACCAAGGCGACGAUCCGUAACUGGUCUGAGAGGAUGAUCAGUCACACUGGAACUGAGACACGGUCCAGACUCCUACGGGAGGCAGCAGUGGGGAAUAUUGGACAAUGGGCGAAAGCCUGAUCCAGCCAUGCCGCGUGUGUGAAGAAGGUCUUCGGAUUGUAAAGCACUUUAAGUUGGGAGGAAGGGCAGUAAGUUAAUACCUUGCUGUUUUGACGUUACCGACAGAAUAAGCACCGGCUAACUCUGUGCCAGCAGCCGCGGUAAUACAGAGGGUGCAAGCGUUAAUCGGAAUUACUGGGCGUAAAGCGCGCGUAGGUGGUUCGUUAAGUUGGAUGUGAAAGCCCCGGGCUCAACCUGGGAACUGCAUCCAAAACUGGCGAGCUAGAGUACGGUAGAGGGUGGUGGAAUUUCCUGUGUAGCGGUGAAAUGCGUAGUAUAGGAAGGAACACCAGUGGCGAAGG